RNAcentral lists this small nuclear RNA (128 nucleotides) under Fukomys damarensis (Damara mole-rat). Its description in RNAcentral is "U1 spliceosomal RNA (ENSFDAG00000004153.1)". It matches the Rfam family "U1 spliceosomal RNA", at positions 1 to 90 of the family's 166-position model. From Rfam's summary of the family: U1 is a small nuclear RNA (snRNA) component of the spliceosome (involved in pre-mRNA splicing). Its 5' end forms complementary base pairs with the 5' splice junction, thus defining the 5' donor site of an intron. The record is from RNAcentral. Lineage: Eukaryota; Metazoa; Chordata; Mammalia; Rodentia; Bathyergidae.
AUACUUACCUGGCAGGGGAGAUAUCAUGAUCACAAAGGUGGUUUUCCCAGGGGGAGGCUUAUCCUUUGCACAAGAGAAGGAUCACAUAUACACAUGAUCACAAAGGUCACAAAGAGGACAGUACAUCC